UACGUAGGGAGCGAGCGUUGUCCGGAAUUACUGGGCGUAAAGGGUGCGUAGGCGGCAUGGCAAGUCAGAUGUGAAAUCCCCGGGCUUAACUCGGGAGUUGCAUUUGAAACUGCUGUGCUUGAGUGCAGGAGAGGAAAGCGGAAUUCCUAGUGUAGCGGUGAAAUGCGUAGAUAUUAGGAGGAACACCAGUGGCGAAGGCGGCUUUCUGGACUGUAACUGACGCUGAGGCACGAAAGCGUGGGGAGCAAACAGGAUUAGAUACCCU
Molecule: ribosomal RNA, 265 nt
Filed under: uncultured prokaryote
Description: partial 16S ribosomal RNA
Rfam family: Bacterial small subunit ribosomal RNA
Source: RNAcentral